This 490-nucleotide ribosomal RNA is filed under the name uncultured bacterium. RNAcentral's name for it is "partial 16S ribosomal RNA". It matches the Rfam family "Bacterial small subunit ribosomal RNA", at positions 36 to 507 of the family's 1533-position model. The record is from RNAcentral.
CUUUCCCUCUGGCGGCAGGCCUAACACAUGCAAGUCGAACGGUAACAGGAAGAAGCUUGCUUCUUUGCUGACGAGUGGCGGACGGGUGAGUAAUGUCUGGGAAACUGCCUGAUGGAGGGGGAUAACUACUGGAAACGGUAGCUAAUACCGCAUAACGUCGCAAGACCAAAAAGGGGGACCUUCGGGCCUCUUGCCAUCGGAUGUGCCCAGAUGGGAUUAGCUAGUAGGUGGGGUAACGGCUCACCUAGGCGACGAUCCCUAGCUGGUCUGAGAGGAUGACCAGCCACACUGGAACUGAGACACGGUCCAGACUCCUACGGGAGGCAGCAGUGGGGAAUAUUGCACAAUGGGCGCAAGCCUGAUGCAGCCAUGCCGCGUGUAUGAAGAAGGCCUUCGGGUUGUAAAGUACUUUCAGCGGGGAGGAAGGGAGUAAAGUUAAUACCUUUGCUCAUUGACGUUACCCGCAGAAGAAGCACCGGCUAACUCCGUG